UAAAAAAUAUUUAAGGGCAUUUCCGUUUUUUGUUAUCGCAAUAAAAACAAAAGAUAUUUUCAAGGUUACCGAUAAUAUAUUACCAUUUCUAAAUGUCUUGCUCUCCCGUUAUAUUUAUUUAUGGACGAACGGAAAGAUGUUGGUCGAUUAUAUUAGGCGGGGUUAUUGUCCCGAGGGUCGAAAGGCGAUUGAGGAUAUUCUUUUAUAAAUUCGUUCUGUUUUUCUCUAUUUUUUAUUUUAAGUUAAAUAUGUCCAAAAAAAAACCUCGCAUUGUAACCUUCCAGACUUGGUAUAUGGAUAUUAACUUUUCGGGGUGCGUUUUAUAACGGGCUAGUUCCUAUUAACUUUCCUUUUUAAAAAAAUAGCUAGGGGUAACAUUCCAAUACCCAAUUAUAAUAUAUUUAUAUCGAUUUGCACCCUAUAGGGCUACUAAUUUUAACUGCUUUACAAAUAUGGGGCUGUAUUUGGCCUGGUUUUAAUUUAUUGCUGCAAAAUUAAAUAAAAAAUAAAAUGUAAAAGAGUGGCCUGGUUUUAAAACAUCCUGCCUCUUUUUUAAUAUUUUAAAUUCUAAAUUUUCUGCUUUUUCCCAAUUACCAUUUUACCAAUUAGGUUUGCAAAUUCCGCAAGGAUUUUGGAAAAAUUGGCUAUGCGGGUAAAUAAUCGUUUUUAACCACCUUUUGCAUUGCUGUUCGUCCAAACCUCCAAUAUUCCCAUGCGCCAUUAUCGAUAUAUUUGGAAAACUUCUUAUCUGCAGAAAUUACCCGACCAAAACCAGGCGCUGGAUCCAGUAUUGGGGAUUUGCAAAAUCGGCAGGUGUUAAUUUAAAAAAUAAAAUGCGGUUUCUAUAUGUUUCAAUUACGUAUUAAAUAGCAAUGGUAAUAUUAGGAAAAGGCGUAAUUAAAUAAUUACCUUAUUAAAGGAGGUUGCUAAUAAUGCUAAUUCCAAUGUAAGUUAUUCGGAAAAAUUUUAGGGUUUCGGAACUCCAAAUUACCCGGGCAGGUAACAUCUUCCUAAGUCGCGAAAGAGUUAGCCUGGAGGGGGCAGAAGAAAAUUGGAAAAAAGCUGGGGCGCAACACGGGAAGGCCUUUUGAAAUGCCCGAUUACGUCCAAAUUUAUAAUACCUGUACAUAUUUGGAAACGGUUAGGGCAGGGAAUCUUAUAAGAUGUAAACCCAUUUAAAAAUACCCCAGUUAAAUGCCGGAAUGUUACGCCGAAAUUAUUCUAAAAAUUCCGUAAAGGUAAAAGCCAAUCGGAACGAGCCCGUUACAAAACGCACCCCUGACGGCCAAUAUUAAUUUUACUACCAAUUUUUCGUCAUAUUUGUUUAAACCUCCCUGCUCAAAACCAAAUGGUUCAAAUGUUUCGCAAACAGUGGCCUGUUGGGGGUAGGAGAUUACGGCGGCGAACCCUGGUCCUUAAAAAUAUCCCUGCAAUUUGUAAAUAAAAUGCCCAGAUAUUGCAACUCCUUUUAUUAUUAAUAACUCCCUAUUUUAAAUUCUUGUAGCAGGUAUAAUUUAUUACGGAGGCCUCCUAAUGGGUGCAUUUGCGGUUAUAGGCGGAUUUUUUCGUAUAUUAGUAUGGUCGUAUUGCUAAAAUUAGCGGGAUAAUUGUACCUAUUUGGGGAUAUUCGCUUAUUUUUGCCCAUUAACCCGGCCCUAUAUUAAAAAAAUUUCGGAACGCGGGUAAUUAAACAUAUAUUGGUUAAUUAAAUAAUUAACGCCGAAAGGAUGGAGGUAAGGAGCGCCUUGGGGCUCGUUGCAGUUUCGUUAUCGCUUAUUUUAAUCCAAUAAUUUUUUGGGGUUUUGCAUCUUUUCGCACAUUGCUUUUUACACCUUUUUCGGUAGUUGGUAAUAUUUUAAAUAUUAGGCAAAAUUUGAACGCCGAUACGUAUUUAAUAAUUAAUAAACUGUUUAGGGAACAAUUAAAAAUAUAAAUUUGUUUUGGUUUAUUUGGUAAUAGGCACGACGGGCAAUUUUCUCGAAUUUGUUUUAAAUAUUACCAGGUUUGAAAUUUAUCAAAUGUCGUUGGUAUUUUCUGCUCGUUAUCUUUUGUUUUGGCCACCAAAACUACCUUAUUUAUUUUGGCAAAUUAAGUUAGCCAAUCACCGUUUUAAAUGGAUAGAAUAUUAUCCUAGUAGCAAAUCCUCCAAACCUUAUUUGGAAACCUCUCUUAAAACGAUAAUAACGAAAAUGGACCCAUUAAAUUAUAUAUUACGCCUCGAAAAGGCCAAAUAAAUAUAUAAAAACCACGUUGCAGGUCGACGAACUUCCAUUAACUGGAUUGCAUCCGAAAUUCCCGCCGGUGUAUUAUGGGUGGCUAAGGCGAAAAUCGAACGAUAUAUGCAGUGGCCUGCUCGCCUUUCCGCGGCCGGUUUUCCUCCCAAUAAACUUUAUAUAAGGCAUGCAUUACGGGCGAAUAACUGGGGCGCCUAACUAAUAGCGACUUAAAAUAUAUAAUAUAACGUUGCAAUUGAGAGAAAAACUUUUUAAAUGUUUUAAAAUGCACGAGCUAAAAUAUAAAAAUUAACUUUGAAAGUUCGCGUUAAAGCAGGAUUAAAAUAGGUUAUAAUAAUGGGUGCAAAAUACAAAAUAGGUUGUAGUUAAAUCGUUUUAUUGUUAAAAACUGUUCCAAACCAAAAACCCCUAAUUUUAUUUGCAAUGCUUUUAAUUCCCUCCAACUCCUCUUUAUUAAGGACAAUUCCAAAAUAUAACCGAAUAGCUUUAACACGUUCCGUUUCGGUGCGGAAUUCAAGGUUUAAUUUCAAAUUCCCUUCCCUCCGCCAUUUUAACCUAUUUUAAUAUAAUAUAAUAAAACCGUCCAGCUCGCCAUCCAUAAUAUCUUUUAUAUUCGUUUUCCCAGGUGCAAUUAGGGGCUUAUUUGAUAUUGUAAAUCGCUGAAGCAACAAUUUACGUAAUGCGAAAUAUAUGCGGUUUAUACCAUACGUGUUUAGGAUUUCGAUAUCCUCGGGCAGCAAUUUAAAAUCCGAAUUGAAACAGCAUAUUGGCUGCCACUUCUUACCAGGGCCACGUCGGAAUUAAUAUACCCAUAACCGCCUAAUUUAAUCGACCUGCUGUACAAUCGCCUGUUUUAUUAUUCGCAUUUCCGUUUAAGGUUUUAUAUAUUAAAGACCGUUCGGUUUAAUACCUCCCGUUCCUUCGAACAAUGGUACAGGUUUGGGUGGACCGUAUCCACCAAAGCCCAUAUCGAGCAAAUAAUAUACGCCACCGAUUUUAACAAUAUUGACACAAUGCACAAAUCCGCCGAAUUUGCCGUUGCAGGGCUUAAAGACUCGCGAACCUGCCAAAAUAACGUCGAAUCCCAGCGAUAAAAGGACCGUAUUAAACAAUUGGUUCGUUUCAAAACACCAACCACCGCGGCGGUGGCGGAUAAUCUUCUUAUAAAAACGCGUCGGCGAAAUACCGAACCCUUUAUACCAAAAAUAAUAAACCUGAAAAUUCUUAUAAAACACGUUAACAAAAUGGUGCUUUUUAAAAAAGGUAAGGUAGGCUAAUUGUUAAACAAAUGUAAAUUUGCUGACGGAAAAGAUUCGCUGUGUAGGAGAAAGGUAAACUUGAUUGAAAUAUUUAAUUAUUUCCAAAUUGGCGUAUUUUGGCCGUUUAUAUUGCUAAAUUUGAACUGUGCUAAUAAAGCGAGCCGAUAAUAAUUGGCGCGACAGGCCUCGGAAACAAACUGACAUUUUAGGGAUAAUUAUUAUUAUAAUUUGCUUGUUACAAAGGGAUUUAAUAUAAAGAUUUUUUUUUUCAUUUUAAAAUCUUCGGAAAAACUGAAAUUGGUACAGUUAAUUAAAAUAUAUAACUGCGGAAUUAGUAGCUUUUAUAUUAUUUCGACUGUUUGCGUUAAAAUAUUCUUUAUAGGCAAAAAGGUUCAAAACACUUAAACCGCCAUACGCUCCGUAGGGCAGAUGAAAGAAUUUAAUAAUCCUUUAAACCCUUAAUAUAUUGCGCGGAACGUAUACGCGUUCAGCACUAUAUGGGAUUUACAGCCCCAGGAUUUUACCGUUAGCGGAAUGUUGGGGCGUUACAUUGCAACCUCUCCAUAUGCUACGCAUAUUGACGAUUAAAUGCAAAUUUUUGUUUAUAUAUAACCAGAAUAGGGACAAGAUGUUGGUAAUAUAAUAUAAAUAACUGUAGCGAAUAAUAUUGUAAAAUUACAACCCUGGACGUUUUUUUGUUUCCGUCAUAAGGUUAAACUGGUGCUAUCUUAAUACCGGCGAUAAACAUUCGGCCCAGAACCUCGGGUUUGGCGUAAAAUUGGUGACGCAGUACAAAUUUCAUACGGUGACGCCGAAGCAAUUACCGUGUUGGGCAGGAAAAGAAAUAUUGGUAACAUGAUUCGAAAAAGUGGAGUUGUGGCUAAUAUCCGUCUAAAUGCUAUUUCGCCGCAGGGGGAUUAAACGUUGCAAAAUUGGUGAUAAGGACCGAAAGGUUUGGGACCAACAAAAAGAUAUUGCGAUCUUCGCGUUUCCACCUUUUUUCGACGUAACGGGGAUUGUUGCAAAAAAAUAAUGGGGCCAAAAUAUUAGGUGUUGUGCCUAGACCGUUUACGAAAGAGGAAAGGACAAAAUGUGGGACGUACAUUUUUUAUUUAAAAAUCGGCUGUUUGCUCCACAUUGGGUCGGCCACCGAUAUCACUAUUCGAUUCUGCAACCGCGGAUGUGGUUUAUUUGAAAAUUAAUAGGUUCGCCCAUUGGUUAGGAAUUGUGUAAAAUGCAUUUUGCAUCCCUGUAAAAAUGCCGCGUGGGUUAUUUUCGCAUAUUACCAACAUUAACCAAAAAUAAUAAGGUUGUUAUUAUAAAAAUUUCCAAAAACCAAGUUUGGACCUUUUUUCGCGGAAUUUAAUUAGGCGUGGACGAAUAGGUACAGGAACACCCUUUGACAGAUUCAGCCUAUCGAAUAUACCUAAGGUAAUAUAUUAUACGCGUAGGACGGAAAAACUCCCUUCCCUUCCUUUCCCUCCCCUGUAUUUACCUGUAUUUACUAUAACGGUCAAAAUUAUCGCCUAUUUCUCCUCUUAUUCCCAACUCCUGCCUUAUUAAUAUUGCCAAUACCUAAAUAUUUCCUGGGACCCAACCCAAAAACCAUUUAAUAGGGUGAGUUGUAUAUAUAAUAAUUUGUAAUAUUAUGGUUUUUCUGUUUUUGGUUUACAUUGUUUUGUCGUGCUGGUACUGCAUAGGCAAUUUAAACAAUAUCGUUUGGCAAUUAAAUUCCCGUUUAUUAUAUUAAAAUGAUGGAAUUUAUUGGAUAUUUUGUUAAAAGCGUCGAAUGUGGGUCUGGGACAUGGCCUAAUCGUUUGCAGGUUUGUUAUUAAUAUAUUUCAAAAGUACAACAGUUAAAUAUUUUAACACCAAGAAGUUUGCUAAAUUUUAACUGUGGUAUUUUUGGGUAUUUCCGGAAAGGAAAAAGAAUCUUAUCUCGAAAAUUAUCCGGAGGUGGGGUUUGUAAUGGGAAGCAAAUAUUCCACAAUAGGUAUAAACCUCGACCCCAGCACAACUUGCGGCCAGGUGAACCAAACGGCUAAUUAUUAGGUUAAGUUGGAAACCCUGAAACGAAUGGUUAGCCUUUCGAUAAAAUAAACAAGGUGUUAUAUUAAUAUAACAGACCUGUAUACGGAAUUACCAUCCGAUUUUCCGUGAAAUUUAAACGUUUGCGAAUUUAUAACAGCAUAUUUCAUACCCCGCGGGCUUCUUCAGCAUUUAUAUAUUUAAAAUAAUAGAUAACUUUACGUAAAUUAGGAAGCGAAAUGGUUGGCGACAACCCUCCGUAUACCUGAUUUGUAUUUAACCACAAAUUUUCGGGGAUGGGUACCCAAUUCUUAUGCGCAGUAACCCAAACCAAUGCAAUGAAAUCCUGUAAGCUAAAUACGGCUACCAUGCAUUAGCACAGUAAUUAGGCAUACCCUCACGGAAAACCAGAUGGUAGCUCCGUACGAAGGACAAAGGAGCCUAUCACAAAUUUGGCGGGGGCCUUGUGCAGGUAACCCCGCUAUUCGGCAUCCUGAACGGCAUAUAACGUAAAUAUGCUUAUAUUCCCAAUGCAUAAAGGCCUUAUGAAACCGUUCGCACAACCUGAUAAUAAUUAAGCUGUUAUAUAUGAACGCCACUGCACAAGCAAUUGAGAUUUAAAAAAAGUAGCGAAAUUCAGCAUAUUCCCCAUAAUAUAUAGUUUAUUGAGAGGAGUGCAGCAAAUUACAAAUCCGUUACAAUUAGGCCUUGAUUUAUAUUAUGAAUUAUACAGCCUGACAGACGAAAUGUAUACCAAAACUAAUUGGAAAGGGAAAAUUUUGGGAUGAAGGGGAGUGAUAUUCUGACUGGCUGGCUAGUAGCACACUAAUAUAAUAAACUGUGUGUGGGUGCUUUUGAGAAUGUAUAAUUAUCUAUUGUGGGAAAGACAGAAGCAUGUGAGGGCAGUUAUAACGCCCCUCUCCAUGCCCUUACCACACUAUUGCCUGUUCGCGAGCGUCGAUUUGCGCCCUUUCCCGCAUGAAAAAUAUAUGUCUAGUAAAGUCCCCAGGCCUAGCCAAACUGACAGCGUAAACCAUAAUAUAGUUAAUUAGAAUUUCCCUUUAUCCGCCGUGUUUUUUUCUCUGAUGACGAAUUACGUAGUCCUUUCGCGCAAAUUUCGCGCCACAUGUAGGACAUUCUCCCCCAAUAUUAGAAUAUUUGUUUUUAGCCGCCCAUAUCCUGUAAAUGUUCCAAACGUGACGUUCCUUUUUUUUCCCAUCUUCCGUCCUUUCCCAUGGGCAAUCCCCUUUAGGACAUUUUCGAUAUUGGCGCAUAUGCGUCCUAUAUAACAGGCACAGGAAGGUUACAAUAGUUAUUAUAAGUGAGAAAGUUAAAGGAACUAGCUUGAAUUGAAUUUAUUCCAGCUCAUUUAAAAUUGCGGCGUUGUAUCGGCAAUCCUUCCAGUUGCAACGAAGGCGAGUUUUUUGCUUUGCUGGCUGUUUUCCAGAGGCAUUUCUAGUAGGAGCAAAACAUUAGAAAGGUUUGUAACGAGGUAGGAAAAGACAGUUGUCUAGCUUUACCAGGCUGUCAGCGAUACCUUUUAGUAGAUUUAGAUUCGUUAUUCUCCGGUACCGUUUGCACCGAUUGUUUAUUAGAGGCCAUGGGAUCCUGAUAAAAUCGUUGCAAUUUACCAGCGGCUUAAACCUUUUGGGAUGGUGUGGAGGAAUUCUUUCGGUCAAAUACUGCUGGGUUAACCCCCCAAAUACUGUCGGUAAAUAACGGCGCUGGAAUCGGCUUUUCAAAGGAUUCGAUGUUGGGCAAAAGCUGAUUUUUUCCUUUCCAAGCAUGGCUUUUAAACAGCCCUUUUUUCUGGUCUUUAUUUUCCCAGAGCGGAGGGUUUUCGGCUCCUAUGCAGAAUUCUGUCCCAAGUUUAAAAACCAUGGUAUAAAAAGUGGUUCAACAUAUCGAAGCAAUGUGGGGUGGGGGGAGCUCCGCAGCUAUAACCCGUCGCCUAGGUGUUGAAACAGUAGAGCAUAUAUUAGCUUGAAAUUAAAACUUAGAUGAGAUUUGCCGGUUUCUCAAUAUGGUGGAAGUUUUCCCUAAUUAUAGUUGGGGAGCAAUUAACCGUUAAACUUUUGGGGCCAGGUAUAUGACGUAUGCAAAUGCCUAAGGGGUAUAUAAAGGUUAUAUGUAUUAUAUAUGUAUCUCUGUUUGUCCAAUAGGAUUAUUGGAUUAAUUAUUGCUAUUUUCAAAGCACGCCUUGCUUCUGGUAUAUUAGUUAAUUGUAUGUGCCAACAUUAAUUGUGGAGUGCAGGUAGAUUGGACAGCCAAGGCCUCCACCGUCGUUUAAUUAAAGGUGUCCGGCCUCCUGCAUGUCGACGGACAACGCUUGUUCUGCUAUUUCGAACCUUUUCAGUUUUAUUUCCCCCAAUUUGCAUUUAUUAGAAUCCUGAGAUCGUUUCGAGGCUGUUAGAAAAGGUUUCGUGCAGUUAAACCUGUUAUUGAAAGCAUAAGAUUUAUAAAUAACAAAGCAGCGAAACCUUCAAAAAACCCACCGAAAGUAUAAAUUAUGUUAGGAGCGCAUUGGCUUAUUGGCGCUGCCCACAAACGUUUUGUUAUUAUUAUAUGCCUGCUAUGUUUAAUCGAUUAUAUACGAGGCCAGCCAACAAUAUAUAAUUUGGAUUUGCAUCCGCAUAAUAGCAAUUGGAAAUUUGAAAAACUUCGGAAAGAAUUUUUAGAUUUAUUUGCCCUAAUAUGCUUUAUUUUAAAAAUAGGUGGAAAUAUAGCCUCAGCAGUUUGUUUGGAACAAAGCCAUCCGAGUGGGAACGUUUUGCGUUUCGCGCGGAAUUUUGGCGUCCCUCCCGACCUUAUCGACCAAUUUCAGCUAAUUUUCCAUAAUCUGACCGCUGUGGUUUUAAAAGGUAAAUAAUUACAAGUAUCUUGUGGUUUAUAAACCGCUAACAUUAAUAUACUUGUAGAAAAGUUAGUGAAGGACGGAAAAUUUAAAAUCUUGUUUAAAAUUAUCAAAUUAACUGGUAAUAAGAUUUGGUCCCUUUUGGAGCAGUUUCGUAAUCCAAAAAUCCACGUUACUGUCCGACGAAAAAUCUCUGUUUUAAAAACAGACGAAACGUACCUGGAUAACGGCGAAAAAACAAAUUUUUAGCAGUGGAUUGCCAUUUUUCCCUUUAUAAUAUUACUAAGCUUUAAUAUAAUGCCUAUUUAGCUCGUUCCGCAUAUAAUAUGGGCGGCCCAAGCGCGAUGGAAAUAUUCAAAGCGGAUAAAAUUAUUGUUUUGUUCCGACGAAAAAGAAAUGCCCCUGUGGAUUAAAUAUAUAUAUAAAUUGGCGCGAUAUUAUUUAGCAACGAAAGCUAUAAUUAAAUUCGCCACCAAACAGCCUAAUAUUUUUACAUUUAUUCACGUUAAGGUUGUGGAAAUUCCAGGAUAGCAGCGUUUCUUUUUGGCGAAUAACAUUACGGCCCUUAGAACAACGUUUCAAAGGCUAAUUAAGACAGACCCUGGAUUAUUCGUCGAAAAACUUGGCCAGAUUUGGUUCACAGAUGACCCGGAAGCUCGAUUUCGCAAAGCGUACCGUUUUAAUUUUACAAUCCAUGCAGAAAUGCAGCUUUUCACAUUUUACGACCAUAAUCCAAACUUUACACCACGCCUUUUGUUUAUAGGCACGAGCAAGAAGGUUUGCUUCCUCUGUUACAAUUUCCUAUCCCGGCACCCAUUGGCGAUUGGGGUGUCAGCCAAUUAUCAAAAGUUUUAUCCGAUUUAAAUGCCAGUUCCAUGUUUAUUUUCGGUGCGGAAGAAAUAUAAAACCCUGCUUUGGGACCUUAACCGACAUUUGGAAAAAACGGUUCUCCGUGACCUGGAGACCAGAUUUGGCGUUCGGCGACCAGUUUACAUAGAUUUUACCGCAGGGCCCUUUUUAACGAUUAUUGGAACGUUUUUAUUAUUUUUAUUAGCCAUGGAACUGUUUAUUCGAUUUGAAUUGGUGGAAGAUUAAGGACCUUCCUCAAAUACCGGAAUAAUUACCGAAUAGUUUAAAAAUGCAAAAAGUAAUUAAAGGUUAGGUAAGGCGGUGCUGGAGCUGUUACGGAUAUUCUAAUAAUUUUGGCGCUGGUUUGUAGGUUAUUAAAGACCUUUCAGGUCUUUAAAUAACUUUGUGUAAAAACAUUGCUUCACAUUAUUUUAUUUCCGAUGGUGGGAAAGUAUUCCAAUGCUCACCAGUAAUGCGAUCGACAUAUUUUUUGGGAUAUCGCAAAGAAAAUUCAAUUGAGAUAUAAAGGAUAUCUUCUAAGCUAUAUUUCAUAUUUGCUCCUGCUUAAUUUUAUAAUUUAUGCCGUUUGAUUAUUUUUUGGGCCAAAAAAAAUUAUUAAAAUUCGUCACGUCGCCUCAGGUGGUUGGAAAAUGGUUAAUAAUAACGGCAGUAAUGGGGAGCGGAAUGUUUAAAUUGAGGAAAUUUUUCGCGAUACCUAUUCCAUCCUUUUGUACAAUUGGCGCUCCAAUUAAUUUGUGAACAUAUUGUCAUUUAUUUGCAUUUUCCAUUAAUAAUUACUUUUUUUAACAAUUUACCCGCAGAUAUAUUGGUAAUAAACCAGGUUAACCCGUGGGAUAUAACCCUGUUAAAUAGUCCACAAAUAAUAUUAGUAAGAUUUAUAUAAGGUUGCCUAAUACCGCAUAUAAUUACCAUAAUAUUAAUUAUUCGUUUAACCAAACAGGCCUGAAUUUUUUCAACUAUGCAGGAGGCCCUCCAUAUCCGCGGUUUGGAGCAAAAACGCAAUCCGAUUUAAGGGCCUGGGGCGAUAAAUUGCGGGGUUCGGCGUUUAAUUGCGACAAUGGGGGUUUACGGGCGGAUCGUCUCACAUUUUCUCCACCAUCCAGGAGGUCUUUUGUUGGUAUCCGGUAGGGAAAAGCAUAUAAAAAUACGUGUUAGGGUAUAUAAAUAAUCCUGGUCUGCAUUUUAGCAGUUUAUUACACCGGUUUAAUAGUUUAAAAACGGCGUUAUUUGUUAAUUUCGCAGGGUUCCGCUACUCGCUACAAACUGCAUUUAUUUUAUAAAUAUUCCUUAUUAAUUAAUAAAUUAAUUAUAGACGCAGUAUAUUUUAUCGUUAUAUAGGAUAAUUAAAUAACCGUUUGCAUAUAAUAUAACACCGCGUUUAACAAAUCGGACGGACCGUCCGGAUUCAAAAGUUCUAAAUUUGGGGUUAAACCUUGUAUAAUAUAAUACGUGGUAAUAAAAUUAAUUAUCCUCCGUUUUAUUAAUACCGGCGGUCCUAUUCGGCGUUGGGCAAAACGGAGUUUUGGGUGGUUGAAAAAACCGCAUUAUUAAUCGCCCACAAUUUAAUCUACUGCACUCUUUUUCGGCCAUAUAAUUAUUAAUUUACAAAUGCACAGGCUACUAUGCCCGCCGACGUUAUUACCACCAUUACCACCUUUUGGAAAAUGUGCGCAUGGCUUUUUAAGGGUGGCCUGGUCGACUGUAUAAUCUUUUGUCGUUCGAUAAUUAACCUUUAAUUUAAUUAAUUAAUUUCGCCACGUAUUACCAUAUAAUACCGAACCCCGCAUUUUGCCGCCCCAAAGAUAAUAUACCACGGUAAUGGAGGGCCCCCUGCAUCGUAAUGGACGCCUUAACGGAUUAUCAAAUUAUAAUGGCAAUUCUGCGAAAAUGCAAGGUUUUUUGGCAGGUAAUAACCACCGUUAAAACAUUCCCAAUACAGGAACCCUCCAUCAGCGAGGCGGGGAACAAACGCGCAACCCGGUUGGCUGGCCUUGCAGAAUCAAAUGGAAUAAUAAUUUCGACUGGGGAAUAAUAAACGGAUUAAACAGGCAGCCAAAACCCUAUUUUGGCACCGCAAAUUAUUUGUUUGGCACGACGGGUAAUUUAGGUCGUAUUAACCCUCGUUCCGAAAGAUUAUUGGUUUGUUAAUUUAAAUUGGCAACGUGGGUAUUACAGGAACACGUUAAAUAUUAUUAAGUUUUUCGUUAUUAUUACAAAAUUCCCAUUGUGCAGAUUUGAAGUUCGUACAGGGUUUUUAAAAUAAAAAUGCAAUGUUAUUUUAUUGCUGUAUUGGCAGCCCAAUCUAACUGGCGAUAAAAUAUAUAAAUAAUUAACCCUAACCCCGAACCAAUACAAACUGUCGGCAGGGUAGUAAAUCCUAUUACGACCAUGCGGGUCAAGGUCUUCGAACCCAAAUAAAGGGAUAAUUCGACUUGCAUUUUAGAAAAAGUAGUUAUUUAAACUGUUAAAAUAAAAAAGACGUUAAAAUCUUCAGGCGAAAAUAUAAGUGUAUUGGGCACUGGGUAUUCCCUGCUUUAAUUAAAAGUUAGGUAUAAUAAGAAAAUUAUAUAUAAAAAAUAAAUAAAACAGCUACCCCUUAGGGGUGGUUUAUAAAAUAUAAUAUAAUUAUACCCAGAAAUUUUUUGUCCAUUAUUUAUUACCGCCUGUUAUAUAUACGAAAUAUACCAACUAAAUACACUAAUUUUACCAAUAUAUUCCGACUAUAUUUUUAUUUGUUAAAAUCUCUUUUUCGAGCCUGGAUAUAAUAAAUCUACCCGUUAAUAUUCGCAUAAUUAAAUUUAAUUAUCUCGCUUUAUACAACUGGAUCGAGCGUCCGACGCCGACCAUUGUCGUUCCGGGCAAUCCCGCCGAAUAAUUACCGCCUACCGGUCCUACCCGAUUGAAAAAGGACAUAGGCUACUUUUAUACGGCGCAAAACCUGGCCCGCCGUCCCGAAAACCCGUUUGAGCCUUUGUUUCGCGCCAUACUCUUUACCGAUCCCUCGGUUGACCUUCGCUCAAUUAAUAUCGUAAUUGAUCGAAACAAUAUUCGAAAAUUGCUGUCGUUUGUCGAACCCAGGAACGGGAAAAACGGGGUUAAAGAUUUCGUAAUUAAUAUUAAAAUUGUUGGCAAAACGGCUCUUUUUUCCCGCGAAGAGAAGAAGGCCAGGCGAUAUAUCGCACCGAACAAAUUCCGGGGCCACGGCCACGAAUUUGAGAAGGUAUAUACCACGAACAAAAUACAGGGUAAUACUGGAUAUUACAGGAUUGUUUUAUAUUUGUUUGGCGAUUUUAAAUUUUUCGUCAAAUACGAGGUGGAUGGUUAUAUUUCCCCUAUUGGAAAGGCAAAUACAAAUAAUAUCCUUAUUUAUAAGUUAUCCUCCUUGCAAUUUUUAAAAAUACCGCCGGAGCCAUUAUUAAUAUCGUAUAAAUAGCCAGGGUCGAAAUUAAAAAUGGUAAUAAAAGGAAAAACAAUUUUAUUAAAACAAUAUUUAGAAAUUAAAACCCGAAUCGCCCACAAACCCCUAUAUAUUCAAAAUAUUAUACCAUAAUUUUGGGCAUCGCAAAUAACGAAAUUUGUGCGAAUUUACCACACCGGUGGCCUUUUUCAAUCCCCAAUCGUUAAGAAUAUAACUGACGAAAUAAAAAAAUGGGAGAAAAAUAACGAAAACACUUUGAAAAAACUAAUAACAAUAGUUUCCAAAAUCUUUAAUAUUGCCAAACGAUUUGGUGGUCCUGUUCAAAUCAGAUAUAACGCAGCAAAAGGCCAAUUGUAUUUAUAUAAUAAUAACUUUAUAAAUAUACUGCCGGACGAUAUUUACGUCAAAUGGAACUCGACGAUAGAAAUAAAAAGUUUGUCAACUUUUAAAAUUCCGGACAUAAUUUCUAAUAUUAAAAACACCCUGCCGGUUAUCGUGGGAGGGAAGCAAUAUUUCGUUAAUUUAAACAAAAUCCCCUUUUUCCAAACUUUAAUAGCAUCGCGAUCACCAGAAUUAAAAAAGGCAGUUUUAAUCCACAAAGAUAUUCCCUUUUUCGGGGCGAUUAAUUACAAUAUUUAACAUGGAUUACGGAACUUUUUCAAACGAACGCCAAAUCGCAUUUAGAAUUACCAUACCCUGUGCGAAACUUUUAAUAACCUUGGGAUUAACGUUUGCCAGGGAUUUAAUUUCCAAAAUAUUAUUAAAUUGCUAAAGGUGGAAUUGGACAAUUAUAACCCAAAGGAACGAAAAGUGAUCCGGAGGAAUAAAACGGCCGCCCGUAACGCUGCAUUCCGUUUUGUAUAUCUGUUAUUCAAAGGCGGAUCCACGUCGCAAUUUCCGUCCUCUUUAUUACCGGCAUUAUUAACACAGGACCGAGCCAUCGUUUACAAUGCGGUCAACUACGUCGUAUUGCAUCGCAGGAUCUUCGGCUACAAGAUACGCAGCAUGGUCCGAAAAACCUUUGAAGUUGCCUCCUCCUUAACGUACAAACAGCGUUUGGUAUUGGAUAAAUGGCCAAUUACAGAGCCCAGCCAUAAUGGAUGGGAGGAUGAUGAGAUAACCAAUGACGAAGGCGAGUGUUAUGCUAAUUUGUAUUGGGGUUUAAAAUCGUCGUAAUUGGGGUUUAACAGCGGCGGUAUCUCUUUUUAAUUGCUACAUUUAAGAAAUUUAAAAUUUCAAAAAAAAACACGAACCCCUCCCGGCGCUAAAACCGGCCGUUUAGGGUCGGUUGCCAAUAGGAACGGGUCCGAUUUAAAUUUAUCGGGACCUUAUUUCGGCCCCGCCCAAUUUAUAUUACCCUGGUAUUACGUGGCCAAUCCCCUGAAAUCCUAGCUCAGCCCAAUGCGAUAAUCCUAAUUAUUCCAAUUGUUAAUAGGAAUUAUAUAAUCGCUGCAAUCGGUAAAAAUAAUAAAACAAUUGUAAUAAUAUUCUUAUAAAUCGUAACUAUUUACAAUUCCGCAGAGAUUUGUUAAAAUUUCCGCUACGUUAUCUGAGAUCUCGUUGCUGUGCACGUAAUUUACAUAUUCGCAUAUUUACUUAUAAACAAAUACCACCAACUACCCUCCGCAUACUUUUUUAUUAAUUAACGAGCUGUUUAUUUCCGAAAUUUCUUUUCUUAAAUUUAAUACCAGGUAUUAUAUUGUAAACCAACUGGCUUCCGCCAUUAACGACGUUAAAAAUGGCGAACAAUUUCAAAAAUAUUUCGCGUGGUGGUAAUUAAUUAACCAGUAAAAGUAAUAAUACCUAUAACCAUUACAACCACCCGUACAGUUUUCGUUAUUAAUGCGCGAAACGAAUUUCCGCCCAUUAUAAUACCUGGCACUGUUUUGACGAACUACCAACAGCUGUGGAUAAAUUAUUUAUUGGAAGGCCAGGCCUCCAUAUAUGCAGCCAAAAGCAGGGCGUAAAAUUUGAUUUGCAGGAUUAGAAAAGGUAGCAAAAUGCGGGGUUAAUCGUCGUUUACUAAUAAUUAGGUUGUUAAUAGCAAAAAACCACAACGAAUAAACAUCCGAUUGCCUUAAAUUGGCCAUGUUUUCCUUUAUUUUUUUAAUUGCUUUGCGUUUAUAUUAGUUUAACCUUUAAUUGGUUUUUAUCUUUUCGGUUUUAGCAAAGAUAAAGAAAUCGUGCAUUGGACGGAUUAUUUCUUAAUUUAUAAUCUCAUAUAAGCGUCAUCCAUUUUAGGGUAGCUGGGACUUUCUGUUCGAAUAUGCAACGAAUCUGUUUUGGUUAUUAAUAAAAUGCUUUUCAAUCCUCUGCGCUGGAAAAGUACGCAUAAUGCAAUUAAAGAGCGAUAUCGCAGAGGUUAUAAGCUGAUAAGGUAUCGAUUAAUGCGUGGUAUUA
Molecule: small RNA, 15063 nt
Filed under: Pyricularia oryzae
Lineage: Eukaryota; Fungi; Ascomycota; Sordariomycetes; Magnaporthales; Pyriculariaceae
Description: Magnaporthe oryzae sRNA M_BR32_EuGene_00136591
Source: RNAcentral